Long non-coding RNA from Carassius auratus (goldfish), 515 nucleotides. RefSeq lists it as uncharacterized. The record is from RefSeq and is a predicted model, not a curated record. The transcript has 4 exons. Lineage: Eukaryota; Metazoa; Chordata; Actinopteri; Cypriniformes; Cyprinidae.
GAGAGGCUUACUGUUUCUGCUUAGCGCUCUGUUCCUGCUGAAGUCAACAAAGGGAACGGAAUAUGACAAGUUAAACAGUCGUGACAGAAAAAUUGUUGACGAGGCAAUAAAACAAGGCAAUAAGAAAGUAGCAAUAUCCAAACACCUUGACUAUUACACCACUUGCACAAAAAUGGAGAAUGUACUCGAGGUAAUACUGACACCCACCUCAUGUAACAAAACAACACCGAGUGUUCAUCGGAAAGAAUGUGAAAUCCACUAUAAGCGACCUCAGGUUUCCUGUGUUCAUUGUAAUGGAGCCAUGAAACCAUGUUUAUUUCUUAGACAAACAGAAGAGAGAAGACAAAUGAUAAAUACAUGUCGGAUCCGUCUGAACGGUGGGCAUGUGCUGUUCUACUAAAUGGGAGAAAAUGAACAGCAACAAACGGGAUGUCUUGGAUGCACCUGAGAUGUAAAAAUGAUCAAGAACAUUCGCUACUUGCCAUUUGAAAAAAAAAAAAAAAAACACCUUAAAG